UACGGAGGGUGCAAGCGUUAAUCGGAAUUACUGGGCGUAAAGCGCACGCAGGUGGCUGAGUCAGUCGAUUGUGAAAGCCCUGGGCUUAACCUGGGAAUUGCAGUCGAUACUACUCAGCUAGAGUAUGGGAGAGGGUAGUGGAAUUCCCGGUGUAGCGGUGAAAUGCGUAGAUAUCGGGAGGAACAUCAGUGGCGAAGGCGGUCGACUGGGCCAGUACUGACGCUGAGGCGCGACAGCGUGGGGAGCAAACAGG
This 253-nucleotide ribosomal RNA is filed under the name uncultured bacterium. RNAcentral's name for it is "partial 16S ribosomal RNA". It matches the Rfam family "Bacterial small subunit ribosomal RNA", at positions 524 to 776 of the family's 1533-position model. The record is from RNAcentral.